RNAcentral lists this non-coding RNA (175 nucleotides) under zebrafish metagenome. Its description in RNAcentral is "Lysine riboswitch". It matches the Rfam family "Lysine riboswitch aptamer". From Rfam's summary of the family: Riboswitches are metabolite binding domains within certain messenger RNAs that serve as precision sensors for their corresponding targets. Allosteric rearrangement of mRNA structure is mediated by ligand binding, and this results in modulation of gene expression. This family includes riboswitches that sense lysine in a number of genes involved in lysine metabolism, including lysC. The record is from RNAcentral.
CAUAGAGGUUGCAAAGCGUCAAGAGUAAUACAGUAGAGGAUGACAUCCGUUGAAAUUGUAUGAAAGGGGCAUUUGCCGAAAUCCACACCACCGUCAAUGGAGUGGAUUGGGUCGAAAUCAUAAGAGGUUUCGGACUGUCAGUUUUCACCGGACAGUGAAAACAUGAUGAGCUACG